RNAcentral lists this ribosomal RNA (485 nucleotides) under uncultured bacterium. RNAcentral describes it as "partial 16S ribosomal RNA". It matches the Rfam family "Bacterial small subunit ribosomal RNA", at positions 28 to 507 of the family's 1533-position model. The record is from RNAcentral.
GAUGAACGCUGGCGACGUGCUUAACACAUGCAAGUCGAACGGGAUCCAAGGGGUGCUUGCACUUUUUGGUGAGAGUGGCGAACGGGUGAGUAACACGUGAGUAACCUGUCCUUUUCUUUGGGAUAAGCAUUCGAAAGGGUGUUUAAUACCUUAUGUUCUGUCUGCCUCGCAUGGGGUGGGUGGGAAAGGCUUUGGCCGGAUUUGGGUGGGCUCGCGGUCUAUCAGCUUGUUGGUGGGGUGAUGGCUUACCAAGGCUUUGACGGGUAGCCGGCCUGAGAGGGUGGUCGGUCACAUUGGGACUGAGAUACGGCCCAGACUCCUGCGGGAGGCAGCAGUGGGGGAUAUUGCACAAUGGGCGAAAGCCUGAUGCAGCGACGCCGCGUGGGGGAUGAAGGCCUUCGGGUUGUAAACUUCUUUUGCUCUGAACAAGGCAUGCCAGUGGGUGUGUUGAGUGUAGGGGUUGAUUAGCGCCGGCUAACUACGUG